RNAcentral lists this ribosomal RNA (946 nucleotides) under Bovista hollosii. RNAcentral describes it as "eukaryotic LSU rRNA". The stretch from base 665 to 946 matches the Rfam family "Eukaryotic large subunit ribosomal RNA", at positions 1 to 276 of the family's 3401-position model. Lineage: Eukaryota; Fungi; Basidiomycota; Agaricomycetes; Agaricales; Lycoperdaceae. The record is from RNAcentral.
CAUUAUUGAAUAUUCUUGAUGGGUUGUAGCUGGCUCUUCGGGGCAUGUGCACGCCUGUCUUGACUUUAUUCAUCCACCUGUGCACCUUUUGUAGUCUUGGGGGUUGAGAGCGGUCGACUAUCGGAUGGCUGUUAUGGCCUUUCCGGAUGUGAGGAAUUGCUGAGUGCAAAAGCAUACAGCUCUUCUCAAAACGACUUGCAACACCUCUCCUUCAAGUACUAUGUAUUCAUAUACCACAUAGUAUGUUGUAGAAUGUGAUCAAUGGGCUUAUAUGCCUAUAAUAAUCAUAUACAACUUUCAGCAACGGAUCUCUUGGCUCUCGCAUCGAUGAAGAACGCAGCGAAAUGCGAUAAGUAAUGUGAAUUGCAGAAUUCAGUGAAUCAUCGAAUCUUUGAACGCACCUUGCGCUCCUUGGUAUUCCGAGGAGCAUGCCUGUUUGAGUGUCAUUAAAUUCUCAACCCCUCCAGCUUUUGCGAGCUGCGAUGGGGCUUGGAUGUUGGGAGUUUGCGGGCCUUUAUUAAUAGAGGUCGGCUCUCCUAAAAUGCAUUAGCGGAACCGUUUGCAGUCCCGUCACUAGUGUGAUAAUUAUCUACACUGUGAUGAUUGCUCUCUGACUAGUUCAGCUGCUAAUCGUCCCCUGUCGGACAAUGUUUAAUGAACUUCUUGACCUCAAAUCAGGUAGGACUACCCGCUGAACUUAAGCAUAUCAAUAAGCGGAGGAAAAGAAACUAACAAGGAUUCCCCUAGUAACUGCGAGUGAAGCGGGAAAAGCUCAAAUUUAAAAUCUGGCGGUCUCUGGCCGUCCGAGUUGUAAUCUAGAGAAAUGAUGCCCGCGCUGGACCGUGUACAAGUCUCCUGGAAUGGAACGUCAUAAAGGGUGAGAAUCCCGUCUCUGACCCGGACUACCAGGGCUUUGUGGUAUGCUCUCAAAGAGUCGAGUUGUUUG